GAUGAACGCUAGCUACAGGCUUAACACAUGCAAGUCGAGGGGAAACGACAUCGAAAGCUUGCUUUUGAUGGGCGUCGACCGGCGCACGGGUGAGUAACGCGUAUCCAACCUGCCCAUCACUUGGGAAUAACCUUGCGAAAGUAAGACUAAUACCCAAUGAUAUCCCACGAAGGCAUCGGAAUGGGAUUAAAGAUUUAUCGGUGAUGGAUGGUGAUGCGUCUGAUUAGCUUGUUGGCGGGGUAACGGCCCACCAAGGCAACGAUCAGUAGGGGUUCUGAGAGGAAGGUCCCCCACAUUGGAACUGAGACACGGUCCAAACUCCUACGGGAGGAAGCAGUGAGGAAUAUUGGUCAAUGGGCGAGAGCCUGAACCAGCCAAGUAGCGUGCAGGAAGACGGCCCUAUGGGUUGUAAACUGCUUUUAUAAGGGAAUAAAGUGGGUCACGUGUGACUUUUUGCAUGUACCUUAUGAAUAAGGACCGGCUAAUUCCGUG
Molecule: ribosomal RNA, 492 nt
Filed under: uncultured bacterium
Lineage: Bacteria
Description: partial 16S ribosomal RNA
Rfam family: Bacterial small subunit ribosomal RNA
Source: RNAcentral